CCUACGGGAGGCAGCAGUAGGGAAUCUUCCGCAAUGGACGAAAGUCUGACGGAGCAACGCCGCGUGAACGAUGAAGGCCUUCGGGUCGUAAAGUUCUGUUGUUAGGGAAGAACAAGUGCUAGUUAAAUAAGCUGGCACCUUGACGGUACCUAACCAGAAAGCCACGGCUAACUACGUGCCAGCAGCCGCGGUAAUACGUAGGUGGCAAGCGUUGUCCGGAAUUAUUGGGCGUAAAGCGCGCGCAGGCGGUUUCUUAAGUCUGAUGUGAAAGCCCCCGGCUCAACCGGGGAGGGUCAUUGGAAACUGGGAAACUUGAGUGCAGAAGAGGAAAGUGGAAUUCCAAGUGUAGCGGUGAAAUGCGUAGAGAUUUGGAGGAACACCAGUGGCGAAGGCGACUUUCUGGUCUGUAACUGACGCUGAGGCGCGAAAGCGUGGGGAGCAAACAGGAUUAGAUACCCUGGUAGUCCACGCUGUAAACGAUGAGUGCUAAGUGUUAGAGGGUUUCCGCCCUUUAGUGCUGAAGUUAACGCAUUAAGCACUCCGCCUGGGGAGUACGGUCGCAAGACUGAAACUUAAGGAAUUGACGG
RNAcentral lists this ribosomal RNA (587 nucleotides) under uncultured bacterium. RNAcentral describes it as "bacterial SSU rRNA". It matches the Rfam family "Bacterial small subunit ribosomal RNA", at positions 338 to 916 of the family's 1533-position model. The record is from RNAcentral.